GAUGAACGCUGACAAGAAUGCGUUAACACAUGCAAAGUCUUUGGCGAAUCGUGUGCUUGCACAGGCUAGCCAAGCGGACGGGUGAGUAACGCGUAAAGAACUUGCCCUGCAGACAGGGAUACAGACGGAAACGACUGAUAAUACCUGAUACAAUUGCCAGCACACAUGUGCCCGGCAAUGAAAAGUGAUGCUGCAGGAGAGCUUUGGUCUAUUAGCUUGUUGGUGAAGGUACGGCUCACCAAGGCGAUGAUAGGUAGCCGGCCUGAGAGGGUGAACGGCCACAAGGGGACUGAGAUACGGCCCUUACUCCUACGGGAGGCAGCAGUGGGGAAUAUUGGACAAUGGGGGCAACCCUGAUCCAGCAAUUCUGUGUGCACGAAGAAGGUUUUCGGAUUGUAAAGUGCUUUCAGCAGGGAAGAAGAAAGUGACGGUACCUGC
This 438-nucleotide ribosomal RNA is filed under the name Leptotrichia buccalis. Its description in RNAcentral is "bacterial SSU rRNA". It matches the Rfam family "Bacterial small subunit ribosomal RNA", at positions 28 to 482 of the family's 1533-position model. Lineage: Bacteria; Fusobacteriati; Fusobacteriota; Fusobacteriia; Fusobacteriales; Leptotrichiaceae. The record is from RNAcentral.